Molecule: ribosomal RNA, 1234 nt
Filed under: uncultured organism
Description: bacterial SSU rRNA
Rfam family: Bacterial small subunit ribosomal RNA
Source: RNAcentral
CUGGCUCAGAAUGAACGCUGGCGGCAUGGUUUAGACAUGCAAGUUGAACGACGGACCCUUCGGGGAAACGGAGUGGCGAACGGGUGAGUAAUACCUGGAUAUCUACCUGAAAGACUGGGAUAACACAGAGAGAUCUGUGCUAAUACCGGAUGAUAUGGAAACAUCAAAGGAGGGGUUAGGCUCUCGCUUUCAGAGGAGUUCAGGUCCUAUCAGCUUGUUGGUGGGGUAAUGGCCUACCAAGGCAGAGACGGGUAGGGGGCCUGAGAGGGUGGCCCUCCUCACUGGGACUGAGACACUGCCCAGACUCCUACGGGAGGCUGCAGUCUUGAAUCUUCCGCAAUGUACGGAAGUAUGACGGAGCAAUGCCGCGUGGAGGAAGAAGGCCUUCGGGUUGUAAACUCCUGUCAGGAUCUGAGAAAGCGCAUAGGUGAAUAGUCUAUGUGUUGACUGGGUCCAGAGGAAGCUACGGCUAACUUCGUGCCAGCAGCCGCGGUAAGACGAAGGUAGCAAGCGUUAUUCGGAAUGACUGGGCUUAAAGGGCGUGUAGGCGGCGUGGUAAGUCAGGUGUGAAAUCUCCGAGCUUAACUCGGACAUUGCGCUUGAUACUAUCAUGCUUGAGAAAAGCAGGGGACUACGGAACUCACGGUGGAGCGGUGGAAUGCUUAGAUAUCGUGGGGAACACCAGUGGCGAAGGCGGUAGUCUGGGCUUUUUCUGACGCUGAGGCGCGAAAGCAUGGGGAGCGAACAGGAUUAGAUACCCUGGUAGUCCAUGCCCUAAACGAUGCACACUAGGUUGCGGGAUCUUUCGGUUCUCGUGAUCGUAGCGAAAGCGUUAAGUGUGCCGCCUGGGGAGUACGGUCGCAAGGCUAAAACUCAAAGGAAUUGACGGGGGCUCGCACAAGCGGUGGAGGAUGUUGUUUAAUUCGAAGCAACGCGAAGAACCUUACCUGGGUUGAACUACGCAGAAUUAGUUUUAUGAAAGUAAAAUGGCGCCUUUACGGGUGGAACUGCGAUAGGUGUUGCAUGGCUGUCGUCAGUUCGUGUCGUGAGAUGUCGGGUUAAGUCCUCUAAUGAGCGAAACCCUUGCUAUUAGUUGCCAGCGCGUAGAGGCGGGGACUCUAAUAGGACCGCCGGUGUUAAACCGGAGGAAGGUGGGGACGACGUCAAGUCAUCAUGGCCCUUACGCCCAGGGCUACAAACGUCCUACAAUGGCCGGUACAAAGGGUUGCGAUGC